This 276-nucleotide unclassified non-coding RNA is filed under the name Hevea brasiliensis (rubber tree). The record is from RNAcentral. Lineage: Eukaryota; Viridiplantae; Streptophyta; Magnoliopsida; Malpighiales; Euphorbiaceae.
GGCAAAGCAUGGAUGAACUUGCCUUUGGGGAGGGGGAGAAAGGAAGCAGCACUGAGGUUGAGUACAGGUAAAAUGCUGAAAUUUUACCUGCACCAGCGUGCAUGCUGCUACUACGCUUCUUGAAAUUCUAAAUCAAAUGCUCAAAUUGUAUGCAAACUUUUAGAUGACCCAGCCGAAUAUAUAAUGAAAUAUUUGUUAGAUAAGUUAAAGAUCAGCCUCUUUUAAAAAGAACCUCACCCCCUAAUUAACAAUAAUCUCUCUCUAGUUUGAUAGAGA